GAUGAACGCUGGCGGCGUGCCUAAUACAUGCAAGUCGAGCGAACAGACGAGGAGCUUGCUCCUCUGACGUUAGCGGCGGACGGGUGAGUAACACGUGGAUAACCUACCUAUAAGACUGGGAUAACUUCGGGAAACCGGAGCUAAUACCGGAUAAUAUAUUGAACCGCAUGGUUCAAUAGUGAAAGACGGUUUUGCUGUCACUUAUAGAUGGAUCCGCGCCGCAUUAGCUAGUUGGUAAGGCAACGGCUUACCAAGGCGACGAUGCGUAGCCGACCUGGGAGGGGGAUCGGCCACACUGGAACUGAGACACGGUCCAGACUCCUACGGGAGGCAGCAGUAGGGAAUCUUCCGCAAUGGGCGAAAGCCUGACGGAGCAACGCCGCGUGAGUGAUGAAGGUCUUCGGAUCGUAAAACUCUGUUAUUAGGGAAGAACAAAUGUGUAAGUAACUAUGCACGUCUUGACGGUACCUAAUCAGAAAGCCACGGCUAACUACGUG
This 497-nucleotide ribosomal RNA is filed under the name uncultured bacterium. RNAcentral describes it as "partial 16S ribosomal RNA". It matches the Rfam family "Bacterial small subunit ribosomal RNA", at positions 28 to 507 of the family's 1533-position model. The record is from RNAcentral.